CCUACGGGGGGCAGCAGUGAGGAAUAUUGGUCAAUGGCCGUAAGGCUGAACCAGCCAAGUAGCGUGAGGGAAGACUGCCCUAUGGGUUGUAAACCUCUUUUAUGCGGGGAUAAAGGUGUCCACGUGUGGAUGUUUGCAGGUACCGCAUGAAUAAGGACCGGCUAAUUCCGUGCCAGCAGCCGCGGUAAUACGGAAGGUCCGGGCGUUAUCCGGAGUUCUUGGGUUUAAAGGGAGCGUAGGCCGGUCUCUAAGCGUGCCGGGAAAUUUUGUGGCUCAACCAUGGGAGGGCGGCGCGAACUGGGGGCCUUGAGUGCGCGGAAGGCAGUCGGAAUUCGUGGUGUAGCGGUGGAAUGCUUAGAUAUCACGAAGAACCCCGAUUGCGAAGGCAGCCUGCCGCAGCGUUACUGACGCUGAAGCUCGAAAGCGCGGGUAUCGAACAGGAUUAGAUACCCUGGUAGUC
Molecule: ribosomal RNA, 460 nt
Filed under: uncultured bacterium
Lineage: Bacteria
Description: partial 16S ribosomal RNA
Rfam family: Bacterial small subunit ribosomal RNA
Source: RNAcentral